This 989-nucleotide long non-coding RNA is filed under the name Homo sapiens (human). Lineage: Eukaryota; Metazoa; Chordata; Mammalia; Primates; Hominidae. The record is from RNAcentral.
GUCUUUCCCAUGCUAUUCUCGUGGUGGUGAAUAAGUCUCACAAGAUCUGACGGGUUUAUCAGGGGUUUCCGCUUUUGCUUCUUCCUCAUUUUUCUCUUGCCCCUUGCCACGCAAGAAGUGCCUUUUGCCUCCCACCAUAAUUCUGAGGCCUCCCCAACCAUGUGGAACUAUGGAGUCUCACUUUGUCACCAAGCUGGAGUGUGGUGGCAUGAUCUUGGCUCACUGCAACCUCCCAGGUUCAAGCUAUUCUCCUGCCUCAGCCUCCCGAGUAGCUGGGACUACAGGCGCACGCCACCACACCCAGCUAAUUUUUGUAUUUUUAGUAGAGACAGGGUUUCACCAUGUUCGCCAGGGUGGUCUCUAUUUCUUGACCUCGUGAUUUGCCCACCUUGGCCUUCCAAAGUGCUGGGAUUACAGGCAUGAGUCACUGUGCCCGGCCUAAUUUUGAUUUUUUAAAACAUUUAAUUAAAAUGUUAUUUAAUUACUGAGUUUUUGGUAUCCCUGUCAUUUUUGUGCCCUGGGAAAGAAAGUACCUCCCCACCUUACCCAGCCCUGGCCCUGCUGGAGAGGCAGUAGGGGUUAGGAAGGCGCUGUGGGACGUGGGAUUAGGUAAGCAUGGCAUUUUUCUGAGUGUUAUAUGAGGUGUUUUGAAGAGAAAGUCUUAAAGGCACCAAGGUGGGUGUACUAGUCUGCUCAAGCUGCCAUCACAAAAUCCCUAAGGCUGGAUGGCCCAAACAAUGAACACUUAUUUUCUCAUAGCUCUGGAGGCUGGAAAUCCAAGGUCAAGGUGCCUGCAGGGUAGGUUUCUGGUGAGGCCUCUCUCCCUGGCUCGCAGAUGUCCACCUUCUCACUGGAUGCUCACAUGAACUCUUUUUUUGUGUUCACUUGGAGAGAGAGUCAUGGUGCCAGUUCUUUUUCUUUUCUGAGACAGAGCCUCACUCUGUCACCUAGGCUGGAGUGCAGUGGUGUGAUCAUGGCUCACUGCAGCC